Varanus komodoensis (Komodo dragon) is the source of this 350-nucleotide long non-coding RNA. RefSeq lists it as uncharacterized. The record is from RefSeq and is a predicted model, not a curated record. NCBI's taxonomy places the organism in Eukaryota, Metazoa, Chordata, Lepidosauria, Squamata, Varanidae. The transcript is spliced from 3 exons.
ACAUUUGACGACAUAACAGGCGUAGACGAAUCCUGCCAGCUUAAACAAAAUGGAACAAUAUUAGAUAUACAGUAAAAGUGACAAGAAUCCUCAACAAAGCGUCAGCUAACUCAAGGAUGAGGCUACAUGGUAUGCACUUAGAAGACUUGAAAUGCAUCACGAUCCCUAACCCGAACACCAUAUGAAUGUAGAUGUAUCAAGAAUUGGAACACAUCAGGGAACUGAACAUAUCAAGCAAUGAAUAGCAGCAUGUCUCUGUGGCCCUGCAAAAGGAAUGCUGUCCAAGAUCUCAAAGCCUGGGAGUAUGAAUUCCUGUUUCACAAUGGCCUGCACUAUUACCAAGGCAUCAA